UGAGGAAUCUUGCGCAAUGGGGGAAACCCUGACGCAGCCACGCCGCGUGAAGGAAGACGGUCCUAUGGAUUGUAAACUUCUUUUCUAUCUGAAGAAGGCACGGGUUUCGACCUGUGUUGACGGUAGGGUAGGAAUAAGCACCGGCUAACUCCGUGCCAGCAGCCGCGGUAAUACGGAGGGUGCGAGCGUUGUCCGGAAUCAUUGGGUGUAAAGGGUGCGCAGGCGGGCUGUUAAGUCUGGGGUGAAAUCUUACCGCUCAACGGUAAACGUGCCUUGGAUACUGACAGUCUUGAGUAUGAUAGAGGUCGGUGGAAUUCGUAGUGUAGCGGUGAAAUGCAUAGAUAUUACGAAGAACACCAGUGGUGAAAACGGCCGGCUGGAUCAUAACUGACGCUCAGGCACGAGAGCGUGGGGAGCGAACA
This 422-nucleotide ribosomal RNA is filed under the name uncultured bacterium. RNAcentral's name for it is "bacterial SSU rRNA". It matches the Rfam family "Bacterial small subunit ribosomal RNA", at positions 355 to 774 of the family's 1533-position model. The record is from RNAcentral.